Molecule: long non-coding RNA, 4124 nt
Organism: Pan troglodytes (chimpanzee)
Lineage: Eukaryota; Metazoa; Chordata; Mammalia; Primates; Hominidae
Exons: 6
Source: RefSeq, a predicted model, not a curated record
CAUAUCAUUCUAUAAGCAGCAGCUAAAUUUCUCAAUUUCACUGUGAUUUCUUGCCGUUUUGGAAAGUGACAAUAAGUUGGCUACGUACCAUUCUUGACCUUUUGACUUCGGAACCACUGCUGACCAAAUCCUAGCUUGCCUUGUUUAAGUCAGUAGCUCUAUUAUCACUCUGAUCCUCUCCCAGAGGGUCUGAAGCUUUCACUCAUGCUCCUGAACGGGUAAGCUCCCCCUCUAGUGUUCACUGCUCAUCAGAUUAUUCCUCCAACAAAUAAGACAGAGAACUGCCUGUGUUUUUGGUUCCCUAUCGAAGGACGGAGCUUGGGACAACAUUUAUAACGGUUUAAUGACACAAAGAGUAAAAGGUGCUGCAGCCCAUCCAUCUGCUGAAUGUUGCCAAGUAACAGCCAUCCAUGGAACAUGGAAAAAUGAAUUCACCCGGCCAGGCCCAAAUUGUUGACCCACAGAACAUGAGAUGCAGAAGCUCUAACCAAGGAUUCCCAGAGAGAAAGAGUAGAGCCAUGAGACGAAGGGAGCCUGGGUCCCCAAAUCACCAUGUCGGAGCUCUUCAGCCAAAAGCUGACACUGAGCUGCUACGUGAGCAAGAGAUACCUUGCCCAGCUAUAGUGCAGUAAUAUCAUCAUGGCUCACUGCAAUCUCGACUUCUCCAGCUCAAACAAUCCUCCCACCUCAGCCUCCCAAGCAGUUGGGACUACAGGCACGUGUCACUACACCCAGGACAGGGUAUCACUCUGUUGCCCAGGUUGGAUUCCAGUGGCAUGAUCAUGGCUCAGUGCAGUCUCGACUUCUGGAGUUCAAGCGAUUCCCCCAUCUCAGCCUCCUCAGUGGCUAGGAUCACAGGUAUACACCACCAUACCCAGGAAGAACAUAUGUACUGCUGUUUUGCCAUAAACUCUGAUGUGCCUCAACUGGCUUCCAACUUCAGUCUAUUCUGGAAGGCUGUACUUACAGGUCUCAGCCAGCAAGCUGAAACUGACAAAGGAGCGUUCCACUUCUCUGCUGUAAAAGUUGUACUUACCUUGUUUUCAUGAAACCAAUCUCCGUUUCCAAGGAAACAAGAACAAAAAGGCAGUUGGCAGCUAGCAUCUGAGACUUAGAAGAACUCUCACAUGUCAAUUUCAACUGCUGGCUGCCGGCUCAAACGUAAAGAUGUGGGGUAUUAAAAUCACCUUCAGACUUGUAACGUACGAAAGAAUAUUAAGGUUUUUUCCUUAGGGUUUAAAUAAUCAAGUUUAAUAGCAAACCAUUUAAAAUAUCCUUUGAAAUACUAUAACAAAUAUUAUAAUUGUUAAAAAUUAUCUAAUAUAAAAACUUGUUUUAUUUAAAAACAGUAGGCACAUAUAUUGCAGAUAUUUUCUCAGUUUUACACCAUAAAUUUUUGCCACUUUUCCCCUUUUACUUAAUCAUUUCACUUUCUCCUUUUUAAAUAAUGAUUCAUAUGGUCCCAACUACUUACUCCUUUUUCUUUUCUUUUUUUUUUUUUUUUUUUUGAUUCAUGCAAAAUAUCCAGAUAGUGUCUGUUUUAUCCGUAAAGCUUUGUGGCCAUGUUUAGUGUUUUAAUAAAGUGUUUUAAUGAUGAAACAUGAAAAUGCACAUUGUCAUUUUUCUCUUAAAAAUAUAAUUUCAUGAUUCUAGGCUUGGACACCUACAUUAACACAACCCGCUUCUUCCGAAUAGCACUUGUUCGUUUCACAUGGGUAGGCACUUCAGAGUUUACUGCAGUCCUCAUCAUUCCAUGCAGUCUCCAGGCCUUCUGUGUCAUGGCUUUUAGAUACGUUUGAGUUUUUAGACUCCUGCUAAAAGACAAACCUGGUUGGUAAGCAAGAUUUGCACAGGAAUGGGAAAGAUACUUUUUGCCUGGAAAACAGAAACUUGUGGAAAUUCUUUAGGCAUUUAGAUAUUCCUAUGAAAAGAUGAAUAAUUUUUUUUAAUAUAUAUAUUAUUAUACUUUAAGUUCUAGGGUACAUGUGCACAACAUGCAGGUUUGUUACAUAUGUAUACACGUGCCAUGUUGGUGUGCUGCAGCCAUUAACUCGUCAUUUACAUUAGGUAUAUCUCCUAAUGCUAUCGAUGAAUAAUUUUUAAGAAAAUGGAAUUUCAAACUGAUACUUACACUCUGUCUUGGGUUAUAUUAUUUUAUAUUAUCCUACUAUUUAAUACUAGCUUUAAGUUAAAAAUGUAAGUCUUUUAGAAUUUCCCUCUUUUGAAUGUUUUGUCACUUUACAGUAUACUAAUGUCCUUUGAAAUCCAGGAUGCCUGUGAAUAGAUAUUAGUAGGUGAAAUAUUAUGAAAAAUUGUACAGGAAGUAAUUUAUCAGAUAUGUGAUGUGGACUUAUUUUAUUACAUUUUAUUGGUACCGCAUUCGUAAUGGGCUCUAAGGAUAAAUUUGUAUAAUUUUGGAAACUGUCAUGUUAGACUUCUGCAAUUAAAUAUGCUUACUUUUCUACAAAAUAGAAAUAUGAUCAAUAGUAAGAUAAUAAACUUAGGAAGGAACAUUUUUAUUGUAACUUCACCUAAUUUCUGUGUUCCCAAAUCUGUACUUGUAAAAAUAUUUUAUUGUAUUUUCUUUUCUUGGCACGACAUUCCAGUAAUUUACAUUUCUCACUUGUAAAUUCAGAUAAUGUUUAAUAUUUUCACAUUUUCUGGACUAGGCAUAUGAGAUGCUCAUGAUCAACAUCUUUUGCUACUGUUGGAAAGUCAGCUUAGGGGGACGGGUGCAGUGGCUUAUGCCUGUAAUCCCAGCACUUUGGGAGGCCGAGGUGGGGGAUCAUGAGGUCAGGAGAUCGAGACCAUCCUGGCCACCAUGGUGAAACCCUGUCUCUACUAAAAAUACAAAAAUUAGCUGGGCGUGGUGGCUCACCCUUGUAGUCCCAGCUACUUGGGAGGCUGAGGCAGGAGAAUCGCUUGAACCUGGGAGGCAGAGGUUGUAAUAAGCCGAGAUUGCUCCACUGCACUCCAGCCUGGGCAACAAGGGAGAAACUCCGUCUCAAAAAAAAAAAAAAAAGUCAACUUAGGGGAAAAACCAUGAGCACUUGCUUGAAAGCCAUAAUAAAGACUACUCAAGAAGUAGUUGCAAAGAAUUGAUAAUGUUAUAAGUGAUAAAAAUUUAUCUCCUAAGUUUGAGAAACCUCCAAAGUUGGAAAAUAUUGCAAACUUUACUCCAAAAUACAGUCAAAUUAAAAAAUAAAACCAAACCCCAGUAUCACCGUUUUUAGAUUUUUUAGUUAAUAUAUAAGUCACUUAUCAUAAAAUUCACCAUUUAAAAAUGUACAAUUUAUGGUUUCGGUAUAUUCACAAUGUUGUACCACCAUCACCUCUAGCUGAAGGAAUUUUUUUUUGUCACCCUAAAAAGAAACCCCUCACUCAUUAUCAGCCACUCUCCAUUCCCUUCCUCCAUUCUCUGGCAACAGAUUUAUUUUCUUCCUCUAUGUAUUUGCCUAUUCUGGAUGUUUCAUGUAAAUAAAAUUACAUAAUAUGUGACCUUUUGCAUUUGGCUUCUUUCCUUAAGCAUGAUAUUUUCAAGGUUCAUCCAUGUUGCAGCAUAUAGUAUAUCAGUACUUUGUUCCUUUUUAUGUUGCAUAAAAUUCCAUUGCAUGAAUAUAAUAAAUUAUAUUUAUCCUUUCAUCAGUUGAUAGCAUUUUCUGUUGUUUCUAAUUUUUGGCUAUUAUGAAUAAUGUUGAUAUGAACAUUCACGUACAUUUUGGUGUGAACAUAUGUUUUUGAUUCUCUUGGGUAUACACAUAGGAUUGGAUUGCUGGGCCAUAUGGUAAUUCCAAAAUAUUAUUUUAAUUGAAAUAAUACAAACAAGUUUUUGUAAUGUUGGAAAUGGGACUGAAGGUAGAAGAGUAUACAAUUUUACCCAAAAAUUGCUCUUAAAAGCUUAUCAAUAACAACAAAACACAAGCAAACACCUGUCAAGUAUAGUUGUUUGUAGAGUGAUGCUUCUCUUUGUUUGUUUCUGUUUGGGUUUUUGUUCCUAUUUAUAUAAUAAGAUUUUAGUAACAAAGGAUUUAGCAUCAUAUAUUACUCAGAAAUCAGAUGUGCUAAUUUCAAGUUUUGAAAAUAUAAAAAUAUAGGCUCAAAAUAUUUAGAUAAAUUAGAAGCAG